Non-coding RNA from Oryza glumipatula, 206 nucleotides. NCBI's taxonomy places the organism in Eukaryota, Viridiplantae, Streptophyta, Magnoliopsida, Poales, Poaceae. The record is from Rfam.
AAUAAGCGCAGUUGUGAAUUUCAGUGCCCAAUUUUGACCAUCCGUCUUAUUUGAAAUAUUUUUGUGAUUAGUAUUUUUAUUGUUAUUAGAUGAUAAAGUAUGAAUAGUACUUUAUGCAUGACUUAACCUUUAAAAUUUUUUCAUAAAUUUUUUAAAUAAGACAGACGGUCAAACGUUGGGCACGGAUACUUAUGGUUGCACUUAUA